This 792-nucleotide ribosomal RNA is filed under the name uncultured Neocallimastigales. RNAcentral describes it as "partial large subunit ribosomal RNA". It matches the Rfam family "Eukaryotic large subunit ribosomal RNA", at positions 22 to 631 of the family's 3401-position model. Lineage: Eukaryota; Fungi; Neocallimastigomycota; Neocallimastigomycetes; Neocallimastigales. The record is from RNAcentral.
CUAUACAUGACUCUGUGCAUAUCAAUAAGCGGAGGAAAAGAAACUAACAAGGAUUCCCCUUAGUAACGGCGAGUGAAGCGGGAAGAGCUCAAAUUUGAAAUCUUCAAGGUUUGACCUUGACGAAUUGUAGUUUAAAGAAGUGUUUUCGGUUAGAGAGUUUAGGUAAAAGUUCUUUGGAAUAGGACAUCAUAGAGGGUGAGAAUCCCGUAUUUGACCUAUUAUUUCCAGCUGUGUGAUACACUUUCAAAGAGUCGGAUUGUUUGGGAAUGCAGUCCAAAAUGGGUGGUAAAUUUCAUCUAAAGCUAAAUAUUGGCGAGAGACCGAUAGCGAACAAGUACCGUGAGGGAAAGAUGAAAAGAACUUUGAAAAGAGAGUUAAACAGUACGUGAAAUUGUCAAAAGGGAAGCGUUUGACACCAGUGUUGUUUUCGUCGAAAAUCAAUUAAAUAAUUCCUGAUUUUGUAGUUAGUAUUGACCUUAAUAAGCUUGCUGCACUCUUUUCUUGGAACUUAUUGAAUGCACUUUUCAGUUAACAAGUCAACAUCAAUUUCUUUUGUUGUAAAAGGGUCAGUAGGAAGGUGGCUUUACGUUUCGGAGUAAGUGUUUAUAGCCUUUUAUCCUCUGCAACCGGAGAGACUGAGGUACAUGCAGCGUAGACUCUUCGGGGUUAGAUACAUUUGUGCUAAGCUAUAGCUUUGUAUAGACAACUUGUUGACUAUGAUUUAGUCAUUGUAGCUUACUCGCUUAGUGCUAUUUUACCUACGCUUAGGAUGUUGACACACGCGCGUGCUCG